AGAGUUUGAUCCUGGCUCAGAUUGAACGCUGGCGGCGGGCCUAACACAUGCAAGUCGAGCGGAUGACGGGAGCUUGCUCCUUGAUUCAGCGGCGGACGGGUGAGUAAUGUCUAGGAAUCUGCCUGGUAGUGGGGGACAACGUUUCGAAAGGAACGCUAAUACCGCAUACGUCCUACGGGAGAAAGCAGGGGACCUUCGGGCCUUGCGCUAUCAGAUGAGCCUAGGUCGGAUUAGCUUGUUGGUGAGGUAAUGGCUCACCAAGGCGACGAUCCGUAACUGGUCUGAGAGGAUGAUCAGUCACACUGGAACUGAGACACGGUCCAGACUCCUACGGGAGGCAGCAGUGGGGAAUAUUGGACAAUGGGCGAAAGCCUGAUCCAGCCAUGCCGCGUGUGUGAAGAAGGUCUUCGGAUUGUAAAGCACUUUAAGUUGGGAGGAAGGGUUGUAGAUUAAUACUCUGCAAUUUUGACGUUACCGACAGAAUAAGCACCGGCUAACUCUGUGCCAGCAGCCGCGGUAAUACAGAGGGUGCAAGCGUUAAUCGGAAUUACUGGGCGUAAAGCGCGCGUAGGUGGUUUGUUAAGUUGGAUGUGAAAGCCCCGGGCUCAACCUGGGAACUGCAUCCAAAACUGGCAAGCUAGAGUACGGUAGAGGGUGGUGGAAUUUCCUGUGUAGCGGUGAAAUGCGUAGAUAUAGGAAGGAACACCAGUGGCGAAGGCGACCACCUGGACUGAUACUGACACUGAGGUGCGAAAGCGUGGGGGAGCAAACAGGAUUAGAUACCCUGGUAGUCCACGCCGUAAACGAUGUCAACUAGCCGUUGGAAUCCUUGAGAUUUUAGUGGCGCAGCUAACGCAUUAAGUUGACCGCCUGGGGAGUACGGCCGCAAGGUUAAAACUCAAAUGAAUUGACGGGGGCCCGCACAAGCGGUGGAGCAUGUGGUUUAAUUCGAAGCAACGCGAAGAACCUUACCAGGCCUUGACAUGCAGAGAACUUUCCAGAGAUGGAUUGGUGCCUUCGGGAACUCUGACACAGGUGCUGCAUGGCUGUCGUCAGCUCGUGUCGUGAGAUGUUGGGUUAAGUCCCGUAACGAGCGCAACCCUUGUCCUUAGUUACCAGCACGUUAUGGUGGGCACUCUAAGGAGACUGCCGGUGACAAACCGGAGGAAGGUGGGGAUGACGUCAAGUCAUCAUGGCCCUUACGGCCUGGGCUACACACGUGCUACAAUGGUCGGUACUGAGGGUUGCCAAGCCGCGAGGUGGAGCUAAUCUCACAAAACCGAUCGUAGUCCGGAUCGCAGUCUGCAACUCGACUGCGUGAAGUCGGAAUCGCUAGUAAUCGCGAAUCAGAAUGUCGCGGUGAAUACGUUCCCGGGCCUUGUACACACCGCCCGUCACACCAUGGGAGUGGGUUGCACCAGAAGUAGCUAGUCUAACCUUCGGGAGGACGGUUACCACGGUGUGAUUCAUGACUGGGGUGAAGUCGUAACAAGGUAACCGUA
This 1502-nucleotide ribosomal RNA is filed under the name uncultured bacterium. RNAcentral's name for it is "bacterial SSU rRNA". It matches the Rfam family "Bacterial small subunit ribosomal RNA". The record is from RNAcentral.